GGGGUUGUAGCUCAGUUGGUAGAGCAUCGGAUUGUGGCUCCGAGUGUCAAGGGUUCGAUCCCCUUCAACCCCU
RNAcentral lists this transfer RNA (73 nucleotides) under Myxococcales bacterium. RNAcentral's name for it is "tRNA-His". It matches the Rfam family "tRNA". From Rfam's summary of the family: Transfer RNA (tRNA) molecules are approximately 80 nucleotides in length. Lineage: Bacteria; Pseudomonadati; Myxococcota; Myxococcia; Myxococcales. The record is from RNAcentral.